GAUGAACGCUGGCGGCGUGCCUAAUACAUGCAAGUCGAGCGAACGGACGAGAAGCUUGCUUCUCUGAUGUUAGCGGCGGACGGGUGAGUAACACGUGGAUAACCUACCUAUAAGACUGGGAUAACUUCGGGAAACCGGAGCUAAUACCGGAUAAUAUUUUGAACCGCAUGGUUCAAAAGUGAAAGACGGUCUUGCUGUCACUUAUAGAUGGAUCCGCGCUGCAUUAGCUAGUUGGUAAGGUAACGGCUUACCAAGGCAACGAUGCAUAGCCGACCUGAGAGGGUGAUCGGCCACACUGGAACUGAGACACGGUCCAGACUCCUACGGGAGGCAGCAGUAGGGAAUCUUCCGCAAUGGGCGAAAGCCUGACGGAGCAACGCCGCGUGAGUGAUGAAGGUCUUCGGAUCGUAAAACUCUGUUAUUAGGGAAGGACAUAUGUGUAAGUAACUGUGCACAUCUUGACGGUACCUAAUCAGAAAGCCACGGCUAACUACGUGCCAGCAGCCGCGGUAAUACGUAGGUGACAAGCGUUAUCCGGAAUUAUUGGGCGUAAAGCGCGCGUAGGCGGUUUUUUAAGUCUGAUGUGAAAGCCCACGGCUCAACCGUGGAGGGUCAUUGGAAACUGGAAAACUUGAGUGCAGAAGAGGAAAGUGGAAUUCCAUGUGUAGCGGUGAAAUGCGCAGAGAUAUGGAGGAACACCAGUGGCGAAGGCGACUUUCUGGUCUGUAACUGACGCUGAUGUGCGAAAGCGUGGGGAUCAAACAGGAUUAGAUACCCUGGUAGUCCACGCCGUAAACGAUGAGUGCUAAGUGUUAGGGGGUUUCCGCCCCUUAGUGCUGCAGCUAACGCAUUAAGCACUCCGCCUGGGGAGUACGACCGCAAGGUUGAAACUCAAAGGAAUUGACGGGGACCCGCACAAGCGGUGGAGCAUGUGGUUUAAUUCGAAGCAACGCGAAGAACCUUACCAAAUCUUGACAUCCUUUGACAACUCUAGAGAUAGAGCCUUCCCCUUCGGGGGACAAAGUGACAGGUGGUGCAUGGUUGUCGUCAGCUCGUGUCGUGAGAUGUUGGGUUAAGUCCCGCAACGAGCGCAACCCUUAAGCUUAGUUGCCAUCAUUAAGUUGGGCACUCUAAGUUGACUGCCGGUGACAAACCGGAGGAAGGUGGGGAUGACGUCAAAUCAUCAUGCCCCUUAUGAUUUGGGCUACACACGUGCUACAAUGGACAAUACAAAGGGCAGCGAAACCGCGAGGUCAAGCAAAUCCCAUAAAGUUGUUCUCAGUUCGGAUUGUAGUCUGCAACUCGACUACAUGAAGCUGGAAUCGCUAGUAAUCGUAGAUCAGCAUGCUACGGUGAAUACGUUCCCGGGUCU
This 1372-nucleotide ribosomal RNA is filed under the name uncultured bacterium. Its description in RNAcentral is "bacterial SSU rRNA". It matches the Rfam family "Bacterial small subunit ribosomal RNA", at positions 28 to 1381 of the family's 1533-position model. The record is from RNAcentral.